GAACUUUCCAGAGAUGGAUUGGUGCCUUCGGGAACUCUGAGACAGGUGCUGCAUGGCUGUCGUCAGCUCGUGUUGUGAAAUGUUGGGUUAAGUCCCGCAACGAGCGCAACCCUUAUCCUUUGUUGCCAGCGGUUAGGCCGGGAACUCAAAGGAGACUGCCAGUGAUAAACUGGAGGAAGGUGGGGAUGACGUCAAGUCAUCAUGGCCCUUACGAGUAGGGCUACACACGUGCUACAAUGGCGCAUACAAAGAGAAGCGACCUCGCGAGAGCAAGCGGACCUCAUAAAGUGCGUCGUAGUCCGGAUUGGAGUCUGCAACUCGACUCCAUGAAGUCGGAAUCGCUAGUAAUCGUGGAUCAGAAUGCCACGGUGAAUACGUUCCCGGGCCUCGUACGCACCGCCCGUCACACCAUGGGAGUGGGUUGCAAAAGAAGUAGGUAGCUUAACCUUCGGGAGGGCGCUUACCACUUUGUGAUUCAUGACUGGGGUGAAGUCGUAACAAGGUAGGCGUAGAUGA
RNAcentral lists this ribosomal RNA (516 nucleotides) under uncultured bacterium. Its description in RNAcentral is "bacterial SSU rRNA". It matches the Rfam family "Bacterial small subunit ribosomal RNA", at positions 993 to 1509 of the family's 1533-position model. The record is from RNAcentral.